RNAcentral lists this long non-coding RNA (3244 nucleotides) under Arabidopsis thaliana (thale cress). RNAcentral describes it as "long non-coding RNA (ATHA_LNC000086)". The record is from RNAcentral. Lineage: Eukaryota; Viridiplantae; Streptophyta; Magnoliopsida; Brassicales; Brassicaceae.
AUGCAAUCGCAAAGGCGAAGUUGCCUAAGAUGGUAUAUGACUACUAUGCAUCUGGUGCAGAAGAUCAAUGGACUCUUCAAGAGAACAGAAACGCUUUUGCAAGAAUCCUGUGAGUUUUUCUUUUCUUAAUAAGAUAAGAUACACUUUUUGUUAUUGGUUUUCACAAGAGAACUGAGUUUGAUGUACAUAACUUGGGAUGUUUUAACAGCUUCCGGCCUCGGAUUUUGAUUGAUGUGAACAAAAUUGAUAUGGCGACUACCGUCUUGGGGUUCAAGAUCUCGAUGCCGAUCAUGGUUGCUCCUACUGCCUUUCAAAAGAUGGCUCACCCUGAUGGUAAAAGACGUUUUUCUUUUUUCCUGAAACAGUCAUUUCUAGAGAGUUAAAACUUGUUUUAGUAUCACUAGAGACAAAGACUGAGGCUUACUCUAAUGGAAACUAAUGCAGGGGAAUAUGCUACGGCUAGAGCUGCGUCUGCUGCUGGAACCAUCAUGGUAUGUUAUUAUAUUCAAAAGAAGAUUUUAACCGUCUUGGUGUUUAUAGCUGCUUAAUCCACCAAUCCAUGCAUAACCAAGUUUCUGGUUUGAGUUAUUUUCUUCCAUGAUGUUUCAGACACUAUCUUCAUGGGCUACUUCAAGUGUUGAAGAAGUUGCUUCCACAGGGCCAGGAAUCCGAUUCUUCCAGCUCUAUGUAAGUUGCUUGAUGAACAAUUCUGAUAUACCUGUGGUCACACGUGAUGGUUCACACGUUAUGAUUGUUCUGAGUAGGUAUACAAGAACAGGAAGGUGGUUGAGCAGCUCGUGAGAAGAGCCGAGAAAGCUGGGUUCAAAGCCAUUGCUCUCACUGUAGACACCCCAAGGCUAGGUCGCAGAGAGUCUGAUAUCAAGAACAGGUAAAGCCACAUCAAUUGAAAUGUGAUAAGAGUUGAUUAGACUCGAAUAUGCAAACAUAUAGCUAAACAAUUAUAGAGUAACGAUGUGUGUUCUUCUACUACAGAUUCACUUUGCCUCCAAACCUGACAUUGAAGAACUUUGAAGGUCUUGACCUUGGAAAGAUGGACGAGGCAAGCAUCGAUCAGAUAGUAUCCAUUACUUAAGUCUGAAUAGUGUCAAUGAUCCACUUAAAAACUAGCUUUAAAGCAUACGGUUUGUUUCCUGAUUAUGUUCCUAAACUUGUUAUGUUUCCACCUGCAGGCCAAUGACUCUGGCUUGGCUUCGUAUGUUGCUGGUCAAAUUGACCGUACCUUGAGCUGGAAGGUAAGAGAAUACAACAAAUUUUCAGAUACCACAGCAAAACCAAAAACUUGAUUCAGAUUGCUCUAACUUUCAUCUACAAAAACAGGAUAUCCAGUGGCUCCAAACAAUCACCAACAUGCCAAUUCUUGUCAAGGGUGUUCUUACAGGAGAGGAUGGUGAGUUUCCAUUUGCCAAACAAAUAAUUUCAACACUCUAGUGUCAUAGAAAUACCUGACAAGGUCAACUAUUAUUGUCCCCAUGCAGCAAGGAUAGCGAUUCAAGCUGGAGCAGCAGGGAUCAUUGUGUCAAAUCAUGGAGCUCGCCAGCUUGAUUAUGUCCCAGCAACAAUCUCAGCCCUUGAAGAGGUAGAUCAUUCUCGACUACAAACAUAAAUCUGUGUUCUCGAUAAGUAUUUAUGUACAAGCACAUUAGCUUUGUUCUCUUGUGUUCAGGUUGUCAAAGCAACACAAGGACGAGUUCCUGUCUUCUUGGAUGGUGGUGUUCGACGUGGCACUGAUGUCUUCAAGGCACUUGCACUUGGAGCCUCUGGAAUAUUUGUAAGCAUCACAUCAUAUAUCCAUUCACCAGAAAGUUGCUUAAAAACAGUAAAUAUUUAAAAUGCCUUCUCAAUCUCAGAUUGGAAGACCAGUGGUUUUUGCACUAGCUGCUGAAGGAGAAGCCGGAGUCAAAAAGGUGCUUCAAAUGUUGCGUGAUGAGUUCGAGCUAACCAUGGCACUAAGUGGGUGCCGGUCACUCAGUGAAAUCACCCGUAACCACAUUGUCACGGAAUGGGACACUCCACGCCAUUUGCCCAGGUUAUAGAGAAGAAAAAAAAAACAGAGAACAGAAACAACACGGCACCAAAACGUAUUCAUAUUCUGAUUGAUCACUUUGCUUCUACUCUGCUAUAUUUAUAUCUCGAAAAACUUGUUUCUCCCUAUAUCGGAUCACAAAAACGUGCGUAGAGAUUCUCUGUAAUGCUAUUUGGCUACAUUUUACCUUUCCGUUUAUUCUUAUUGCUUGUACAAUAGAUGUUGAUUCCUACAAUACCAAUGAAUACUAAAAUCUGUUCCCGGAAAACUAGUAUAGUCAGAAAAUCUUACAUUGCACCCAACUUCCACAAUCCAAACACAGUUCAAAUCUUAUAUUAACAGCAGCCAAAACCUCACAGAAACUAGCUACCAAAAGAGCACAAAAGAAUACUAUAGGAGAACUCAGAUUAAGGAAAGACAGGUUUGUGAGAUUUACAAUACCUUAUUGAAGAAGAAUGUAAGCGAAUUCAUCCUUCACUUUGUGCUGGGCUAAGUAUUGCAUCGAAAAGCCCAAAAUAAUUUGGCUCACGAAUUCGAAACUCUUGGAUUUAUGCACUUUUCUGAAAAAAAAAGAAAAACGAUUGGUUUACGAAUUACUACUAUUUUUCUACGAGAUUAAGAACGAUAAUAUGUAAGAAAAAUCUAAGACACACACCAUCCAUCAGAUUUUUGUCCGUAUCUCCUCAUCAAUUCUUCACCUCCAGCUUCUCAUCCAUAUUUCUUUCUUUCCAAUGCAAACAAGUUUUCAACUGUUAAAAGAUAAACCAAAAACUCACAAGCCAAUUAAUCUAUCAGAAAUAUUUAACUUUUAACCAAAUAAAAACGUUGAGAUAUAUAUAAUAUAAGCGUUCCUUACCACUCACACACUUCAUCUCUCCCCAGAGCUCUAUUCCCAUCAAGGUGUGUGAGAUUCUCUGCUAAGACAAACCAAAAACCAGAUUGUUUUGCGUUCAUGGACAUGUUCCUCUCUGGAGAUUAGAAUCGUAGCUAUGACUAUGUCUGAAUUUCACAAGAGGUAGCUAACUCAGGCCUUUUUGCUCUUUUGACAGAAACACACUUCGGAAGAUGGAGAUCACUAACGUUACCGAGUAUGAUGCAAUCGCAAAGCAGAAGCUGCCUAAGAUGGUGUACGACUACUAUGCAUCUGGUGCAGAAGACCAAUGGACUCUUCAAGAGAACAGAAACGCUUUUGCAAGGAUC